GUGGAAACAGGAGAGUCUGAAGAAUACAAAUAUGGCCACGGCUAUGACAGCUAAGGAGAAGGUGCACGCUACCACUAUCGUCGAUGUUUUCAUACUGUUUGUAGCGUGUUCUACGGAACCGAAUCCCAGCUGGGAAUCUUUAUUCCCCGAUGAUUCUGAAAACGUACAGUACAUAAAUAUAUAUAAAUUAGUAAAAAUUACACGAAUAAGCUUUGCUUUAAUUACCGACGUUAAACAGCAUUAGUAAUGUUAUUACUAAGCGGAGAGAAAUUACAGAAUUUCAGCAAUAACCGAGCGAAUAUAUUAAAUGAAGAUAUAUAACUCUCUCGUUCCAGAAAACGACUUUGUUUCGGAAUUUUAUCAAAUUCUAUUUUUCUUUUUAUAGGCGACUUAAAGAGAUUAGAAGGAAUUGCCA
RNAcentral lists this long non-coding RNA (415 nucleotides) under Androctonus crassicauda. Lineage: Eukaryota; Metazoa; Arthropoda; Arachnida; Scorpiones; Buthidae. The record is from RNAcentral.